UGGCAGUGAGGAGAAAUUGAAAGGCCGGUCUUACAGCUGCCUCCAAACACGGAUGAUCGAUAUCCUCUCGUCGUCGUUCUGGGAUGGUAGUAGCAUGAUGUGAUGUGAUUCGGCGAAAGGUUUUCUCUGAGCCAU
Molecule: small nucleolar RNA, 135 nt
Filed under: Triticum aestivum (bread wheat)
Lineage: Eukaryota; Viridiplantae; Streptophyta; Magnoliopsida; Poales; Poaceae
Also listed under: 1 other name
Description: Small nucleolar RNA snoR113
Rfam family: Small nucleolar RNA snoR113
Source: Rfam by way of RNAcentral